UAACCACUGCAGUCUGCCCAGCUGCCUGGUC
RNAcentral lists this non-coding RNA (31 nucleotides) under Homo sapiens (human). The record is from RNAcentral. Lineage: Eukaryota; Metazoa; Chordata; Mammalia; Primates; Hominidae.